Molecule: transfer RNA, 75 nt
Filed under: Vespa orientalis (oriental hornet)
Lineage: Eukaryota; Metazoa; Arthropoda; Insecta; Hymenoptera; Vespidae
Description: tRNA-Gly
Source: RNAcentral
UUACUUAUAUUAUUAUUGAGUAAAUAAUUUUUUUAAUUGGAAAUUAAAUGUAAUUUUUAUUAUACUAUAUAAGUA